AGUGAACGCUGGCGGUAGGCUUAACACAUGCAAGUCGAACGGAAGCACCGUAAGUGCUUGCUCUUAUGGGUGGGGAGUGGCGGACGGGAGAGGAAUACAUCGGAAUCUACUUUUUCGUGGGGGAUAACGUAGGGAAACUUAAGACAGUAUCGCAUACGACCUACGGGUGAAAGCAGGGGAUCUUCUGACUUCGCGCGAAUGACUGAGCCGAUCUGGGAUUAGCUAGUUGGCGGGGUUAAGGACCACCCAGGCGACGAUCCGUAGCUGGUCUGAGAGGAUGAUCAGCCACACGAGAGCUGAGACACGGUCCAUACGCCUACGAGAGGCAGCAGAGGGGAAUGGUAGACAAUGGUCGCGAGCCUGAUCCAACCAUACCGCGUGUGUGGAGAAGGCCUUCGGGGUGUAAUGACCGUUUGUGGGGAAAGAAAAGCAUCAGGUUAAGACCCCGCUGUUGUGACGGUACCCAAAGAAGAAGCACCGGCUAACUUCGUG
RNAcentral lists this ribosomal RNA (492 nucleotides) under uncultured bacterium. Its description in RNAcentral is "partial 16S ribosomal RNA". It matches the Rfam family "Bacterial small subunit ribosomal RNA", at positions 29 to 507 of the family's 1533-position model. The record is from RNAcentral.